ACAGCGUCUAGUUUAGUGAAUUAAAGCGUCCGAAUUGCGGCAAACAGACGGUUGAACUGCAUGUGUGUCAGUUAUAAACACAUUUCUAAGGAGACGGGAGCGUGUCUGUGGAGUGAAGGGAGCUGAAGACGCCGACGAGGAGCUGUGGUUGACUUGGUUCUUACACCAAACCAUGAGCCCCACUGUACCGCCCUCAAAUGGUACGGCCCGGUUCUCUCACCACCCCCUUUCUUCUGAGGACCAGAACUUUCCCUGGAGAGGUCGGGAAUAACGCUGUGUGACAGCUCUGAGUGAUGUGCUUUUCAGCACAGAGGCUGCACAUGACUGCAGGCACAAAUGAGCAGCAUUCUGAAUAACCCUCCUUUCAGACACGUUUGUUUGUGUGGAUAUGAGAACCGUGACUGCAGGUAUCUGAGCAGUGCACCACGGUUCGUCCCUCGCCACAUUCUCUUUGCCACUUCUGCACAUGGGCCAGGAGAUUGAGGAAAGCCUUCUUUGAGUCUGGCACAUCUCGAUACGCAGACCAUCGCAGGAAUUGGAACUGGCACACCACCAGCUGACCCUCCUGGAGCUAGCAAUGGACAAGAAAAAAUGCCCAAUAAUAUAUCACCCACUAUAAAUUUUUGAGUAUGUUUAUGGGAGUAUACAGCAGCAUAGAGCUUUUUGUUUGCCUAGGUUGAGCUCUCUGGAGUGCAAACUCAGCAGGGUUGAGGCCGUGAUGAAUGAGUCUGUGGGGAAGAGCAACACUGGAGAGAUACACACAAGGCCUGAUGUACUCACUCCUCUGGCCCAAAACACAAGCUUCAUUAAUAUCCAGCCCUGAGGGACACCCCAGAGACUACCCUUGAGCACCUCAAAUAUUACCAUGGGCACACUGACCGGUGCUCUGAGCUCUGUGCUGAUAGAAAAAGCAACUUCAGCUUUUUUUUUUUUUUUAUUAAAGAUGUCAUUUCACUAGAAACCAUUUUUUACUGAGUUGCAUAUGCAUGCUGCACGUUCUACCUCCAUU
Long non-coding RNA from Astyanax mexicanus (Mexican tetra), 1009 nucleotides. RefSeq lists it as uncharacterized. The record is from RefSeq and is a predicted model, not a curated record. The transcript is spliced from 4 exons. NCBI's taxonomy places the organism in Eukaryota, Metazoa, Chordata, Actinopteri, Characiformes, Acestrorhamphidae.